AGAGUUUGAUCCUGGCUCAGGAUGAACGCUGGCGGCGUGCUUAACACAUGCAAGUCGAACGCACCUUCGGGUGAGUGGCGGACGGGUGAGUAACGCGUGAGAAUCUGCCCUCAGGAGGGGGAUAACGGCUGGAAACGGCCGCUAAUACCCCAUAUGCCGCGAGGUGAAACGAGUUUUCGCCUGAGGAUGAGCUCGCGUCUGAUUAGCUAGUUGGUGGGGUAAGAGCCUACCAAGGCAUCGAUCAGUAGCUGGUCUGAGAGGAUGAUCAGCCACACUGGGACUGAGACACGGCCCAGACUCCUACGGGAGGCAGCAGUGGGGAAUUUUCCGCAAUGGGCGAAAGCCUGACGGAGCAACGCCGCGUGAGGGAUGAAGGCCUCUGGGCUGUAAACCUCUUUUCUCAAGGAAGAAGAUCUGACGGUACUUGAGGAAUAAGCCACGGCUAAUUCCGUGCCAGCAGCCGCGGUAAUACGGGAGUGGCAAGCGUUAUCCGGAAUUAUUGGGCGUAAAGCGUCCGCAGGCGGUCUUGAAAGUCUGUUGUUAAAGCGUGGAGCUUAACUCCAUUUCAGCAAUGGAAACUAGAAGACUAGAGUGUGGUAGGGGCAGAGGGAAUUCCCGGUGUAGCGGUGAAAUGCGUAGAUAUCGGGAAGAACACCAGUGGCGAAGGCGCUCUGCUGGGCCAUAACUGACGCUCAUGGACGAAAGCCAGGGGAGCGAAAGGGAUUAGAUACCCCUGUAGUCCUGGCCGUAAACGAUGAACACUAGGUGUCGGGGGAAUCGACCCCCUCGGUGUCGUAGCCAACGCGUUAAGUGUUCCGCCUGGGGAGUACGCACGCAAGUGUGAAACUCAAAGGAAUUGACGGGGGCCCGCACAAGCGGUGGAGUAUGUGGUUUAAUUCGAUGCAACGCGAAGAACCUUACCAGGGUUUGACAUCCUGCGAAUCCCUUGGAAACGAGGGAGUGCCUUCGGGAGCGCAGAGACAGGUGGUGCAUGGCUGUCGUCAGCUCGUGUCGUGAGAUGUUGGGUUAAGUCCCGCAACGAGCGCAACCCACGUCUUUAGUUGCCAGCAUUCAGUUGGGCACUCUAGAGAGACCGCCGGUGAUAAACCGGAGGAAGGUGUGGAUGACGUCAAGUCAUCAUGCCCCUUACAUCCUGGGCUACACACGUACUACAAUGCUACGGACAAAGGGCAGCAAACUCGCGAGAGCUAGCAAAUCCCAUAAACCGUGGCUCAGUUCAGAUCGUAGGCUGCAACUCGCCUACGUGAAGGAGGAAUCGCUAGUAAUCGCAGGUCAGCAUACUGCGGUGAAUACGUUCCCGGGCCUUGUACACACCGCCCGUCACACCAUGGAAGUUGGCCACGCCCGAAGUCGUUACUCCAACCCUUGUGGAGGAGGACGCCGAAGGUGGGGCUGAUGA
RNAcentral lists this ribosomal RNA (1420 nucleotides) under metagenome. RNAcentral's name for it is "bacterial SSU rRNA". It matches the Rfam family "Bacterial small subunit ribosomal RNA". The record is from RNAcentral.